GAACCGGUUUCGGCCGGGGAUUAGUGGCGAACGGGUGAGUAACACGUGGGCAAUCUGCCCUGCACUCUGGGACAAGCCCUGGAAACGGGGUCUAAUACCGGAUAUGACAUGGGAUCGCAUGGUCUCGUGUGGAAAGCUCCGGCGGUGCAGGAUGAGCCCGCGGCCUAUCAGCUUGUUGGUGGGGUGAUGGCCUACCAAGGCGACGACGGGUAGCCGGCCUGAGAGGGCGACCGGCCACACUGGGACUGAGACACGGCCCAGACUCCUACGGGAGGCAGCAGUGGGGAAUAUUGCACAAUGGGCGGAAGCCUGAUGCAGCGACGCCGCGUGAGGGAUGACGGCCUUCGGGUUGUAAACCUCUUUCAGCAGGGAAGAAGCGUAAGUGACGGUACCUGCAGAAGAAGCACCGGCUAACUACGUGCCAGCAGCCGCGGUAAUACGUAGGGUGCGAGCGUUGUCCGGAAUUAUUGGGCGUAAAGAGCUCGUAGGCGGCUUGUCACGUCGGAUGUGAAAGCCCGGGGCUUAACCCCGGGUCUGCAUUCGAUACGGGCAGGCUAGAGUUCGGUAGGGGAGAUCGGAAUUCCUGGUGUAGCGGUGAAAUGCGCAGAUAUCAGGAGGAACACCGGUGGCGAAGGCGGAUCUCUGGGCCGAUACUGACGCUGAGGAGCG
This 669-nucleotide ribosomal RNA is filed under the name Streptomyces sp. RNAcentral's name for it is "bacterial SSU rRNA". It matches the Rfam family "Bacterial small subunit ribosomal RNA", at positions 71 to 755 of the family's 1533-position model. The record is from RNAcentral. Lineage: Bacteria; Bacillati; Actinomycetota; Actinomycetes; Kitasatosporales; Streptomycetaceae.